This 424-nucleotide ribosomal RNA is filed under the name Fusobacteriota bacterium. Its description in RNAcentral is "Fusobacteria bacterium partial 16S ribosomal RNA". It matches the Rfam family "Bacterial small subunit ribosomal RNA", at positions 355 to 776 of the family's 1533-position model. Lineage: Bacteria; Fusobacteriati; Fusobacteriota. The record is from RNAcentral.
UGAGGAAUAUUGGUCAAUGGGCGAGAGCCUGAACCAGCCAAGUCGCGUGAAGGAAGACAGUCCUAAGGAUUGUAAACUUCUUUUAUACGGGAAUAACGGGCGAUACGAGUAUUGCAUUGAAUGUACCGUAAGAAUAAGCAUCGGCUAACUCCGUGCCAGCAGCCGCGGUAAUACGGAGGAUGCGAGCGUUAUCCGGAUUUAUUGGGUUUAAAGGGUGCGUAGGUUGUUCGGUAAAUCAGCGGUGAAACCUGAGCGCUCAACGUUCAGCCUGCCGUUGAAACUGCCGGGCUUGAGUUCAGUGGCGGCAGGCGGAAUUCGUGGUGUAGCGGUGAAAUGCAUAGAUAUCACGAGGAACUCCGAUUGCGAAGGCAGCUUGCCAUACUGCGACUGACACUGAAGCACGAAGGCGUGGGUAUCAAACAGG